Molecule: non-coding RNA, 75 nt
Organism: Podarcis lilfordi (Lilford's wall lizard)
Lineage: Eukaryota; Metazoa; Chordata; Lepidosauria; Squamata; Lacertidae
Source: the annotation of a GenBank genome assembly
GGUGAUGUCAUCGCUCAAUGGCAGAGCAUGUGCCUGGCAGGCAAAUGGUCCCAGGUUCAAUUCCUGGCAUCUCCA